AUUGAACGCUGGCGGCAUGCCUUACACAUGCAAGUCGAACGGCAGCACGGGAGCAAUCCUGGUGGCGAGUGGCGAACGGGUGAGUAAAGUAUCGGAACGUGCCCAGUCGUGGGGGAUAACGUAGCGAAAGUUACGCUAAUACCGCAUACGAUCUAUGGAUGAAAGCGGGGGAUCGCAAGACCUCGCGCGAUUGGAGCGGCCGAUAUAAAAUUAGGUAGUUGGUGGGGUAAAGGCUCACCAAGCCGACGAUCUGUAGCUGGUCUGAGAGGACGACCAGCCACACUGGGACUGAGGCACGGCCCAGACUCCUACGGGAGGCAGCAGUGGGGAAUUUUGGACAAUGGGCGAAAGCCUGAUCCAGCCAUGCCGCGUGCAGGAUGAAGGCCUUCGGGUUGUAAACUGCUUUUGUACGGAACGAAAAGGUUUGGCCUAAUAAGCUGAGCUCAUGACGGUACCGUAAGAAUAAGCACCGGCUAACUACGUGCCAGCCGCCGCGGUAA
This 500-nucleotide ribosomal RNA is filed under the name uncultured bacterium. RNAcentral's name for it is "partial 16S ribosomal RNA". It matches the Rfam family "Bacterial small subunit ribosomal RNA", at positions 30 to 523 of the family's 1533-position model. The record is from RNAcentral.